GAUGAAGAACGUAUCGAAAUGCGAUAAGUAAUGUGAAUUGCAGAAUUCCGUGAAUCAUCGAAUCUUUGAACGCACAUUGCGCCCCCUGGUAUUCCGGGGGGCAUGCCUGUCCGAGCGUCAUUGCAACCCUCAAGCGCGGCUUGUGUGUUGGGCUUCGUCCCCCCGUGGACGUGCCCGAAAGGCAGUGGCGGCGUCCCGAAUGGUGCCCGAGCGUAUGGGAACUCUCUUCCGCUCGAACCGGCCCAUUCGGCGCUGGUCGAACCCCAAUUUUUUUUUACCGGUUGACCUCGGAUCAGGUAGGGAUACCCGCUGAACUUAAGCAUAUCAAUAAGCGGAGGA
RNAcentral lists this unclassified non-coding RNA (339 nucleotides) under soil metagenome. RNAcentral describes it as "partial contains 5.8S ribosomal RNA, internal transcribed spacer 2, and large subunit ribosomal RNA". The stretch from base 1 to 120 matches the Rfam family "5.8S ribosomal RNA", at positions 35 to 154 of the family's 154-position model. The record is from RNAcentral.